Molecule: small RNA, 132 nt
Filed under: Chromatiaceae bacterium
Lineage: Bacteria; Pseudomonadati; Pseudomonadota; Gammaproteobacteria; Chromatiales; Chromatiaceae
Description: RtT sRNA
Rfam family: RtT RNA
About the family: This family represents a bacterial cis-regulatory element known as RtT RNA. The exact function of RtT is unknown although it is thought that it may be involved in changing the cellular response in relation to amino acid starvation.
Source: RNAcentral
UCUGUUAGAGGUGCCACCAGGGUUCGAACCUGGAAGGUUCGACGAGCGCCGCGUAGCGGCGCCGAACGUCGCGCGCAGCGCGGCGGCCCGAAGGGUGAGGCCGAAGGCCGAAUAAUCCUGGUCCCCCAGCCA